AAGACCUUAAGUUAAAUAAACUAAUAACCUUCAAAGUUAUAAUUAAAAGUGAACUUUUAGGUCUUA
RNAcentral lists this transfer RNA (66 nucleotides) under Aiolopus thalassinus. RNAcentral describes it as "tRNA-Trp". The record is from RNAcentral. Lineage: Eukaryota; Metazoa; Arthropoda; Insecta; Orthoptera; Acrididae.